AGCAGCCGCGGUAAUUCCAGCUCCAAUAGCGUAUAUUAAAGUUGUCGCAGUUAAAAAGCUCGUAGUUGAAUUUCGGAAUCAUCAGGUUCGGUCGUGCCUCUGGUAUGUACUGAUUUCGAUGGUUCCUCCUUCUUGAAGAUCCGUAAUGCCAUUAAUUUGGUGUUGCGGGGAAUACAGGACUGUUACUUUGAAAAAUUAGAGUGUUUAAAGCAGGCAAUCGCUUGAAUACAUUAGCAUGGAAUAAUGAAAUAGGACGUUCGAUCCUAUUUUGUGGUUUCUAGGAUUGACGUAAUGAUUAAUAGGGAUAGUUGGGGGCAUUAGUAUUCAAUUGUCAGAGGUGAAAUUCUUGGAUUUAUUGAAGACAAACUACU
This 371-nucleotide ribosomal RNA is filed under the name uncultured Glomeromycotina. RNAcentral's name for it is "SSU rRNA". It matches the Rfam family "Eukaryotic small subunit ribosomal RNA", at positions 569 to 944 of the family's 1831-position model. Lineage: Eukaryota; Fungi; Glomeromycota. The record is from RNAcentral.